Molecule: ribosomal RNA, 250 nt
Filed under: uncultured bacterium
Lineage: Bacteria
Description: partial 16S ribosomal RNA
Rfam family: Bacterial small subunit ribosomal RNA
Source: RNAcentral
ACGUAGGUGGCGAGCGUUAUCCGGAAUUAUUGGGCGUAAAGAGGGAGCAGGCGGUACUAAGGGUCUGUGGUGAAAGAUCGAAGCUUAACUUCGGUAAGCCAUGGAAACCGUAGAGCUAGAGUGUGUGAGAGGAUCGUGGAAUUCCAUGUGUAGCGGUGAAAUGCGUAGAUAUAUGGAGGAACACCAGUGGCGAAGGCGACGAUCUGGCGCAUAACUGACGCUCAGUCCCGAAAGCGUGGGGAGCAAAUAG